ACGAACGCUGGCGGCGUGCUUAACACAUGCAAGUCGAACGAUGAAGAAGAGAAACGCGAACUUCGGUUCAAAUUUCACUUCGGAUUAGUGGCAGACGGGUGAGUAACGCGUGAGCAACCUACCUCUUACAAAGGGAUAGCCUCGGGAAACCGUAAUUAAUACCAUAUGACACAUUCAUAAGGCAUCUUAAGAAUGUUAAAGCUACGGCGGUAAGAGAUGGGCUCGCGUCCCAUUAGCUAGUUGGUGAGGUAACGGCCCACCAAGGCGACGAUGGGUAACCGGCCUGAGAGGGUGAACGGUCACAUUGGAACUGAGACACGGUCCAAACUCCUACGGGAGGCAGCAGUGGGGAAUAUUGCACAAUGGAGGGAACUCUGAUGCAGCGACGCCGCGUGAGCGAUGAAGGAAUUCGUUUCGUAAAGCUCUGUUCUAUGGGAAGAAAAGGACUGUACCAUAGGAGAAAGCCCCGGCUAAAUACGUG
This 481-nucleotide ribosomal RNA is filed under the name uncultured bacterium. RNAcentral's name for it is "partial 16S ribosomal RNA". It matches the Rfam family "Bacterial small subunit ribosomal RNA", at positions 29 to 507 of the family's 1533-position model. The record is from RNAcentral.